This 322-nucleotide unclassified non-coding RNA is filed under the name Hevea brasiliensis (rubber tree). The record is from RNAcentral. Lineage: Eukaryota; Viridiplantae; Streptophyta; Magnoliopsida; Malpighiales; Euphorbiaceae.
GCUUUCAAGACAUUCCAAAACAAUUUAAACCAGUUGAAGGCUUCUGCUGAAGAGAGAUCUUUGGGAGCAAAGCAGGUGCCCACAAAGGGGACAGAAGCUAAGGUUUCCUAUUCUAUGACUCCUCAAAAGGAGAAUGCAGGGUCUUUCAAAGCUGCCAGUAUGGAUAAAAAAAUUGGCAAGGCAGGCCCGUCUUCUUUUGGCUUGAAAAGUGAUGAAAGGGCAGAGAAAAGGAAAGAGUUUUCUAAGAAAUGGGACGAGAAAUCAAAAGCUAAAGAGGCAAAGAGUAAGCGCCUCCAAACAAAAUCAAAGCAGGAAAAAGAGG